GACGAACGCUGGCGGCGUGCUUAACACAUGCAAGUCGAACGGAAAGGCCCUGCUUUUGUGGGGUGCUCGAGUGGCGAACGGGUGAGUAACACGUGAGUAACCUGCCCUUGACUUUGGGAUAACUUCAGGAAACUGGGGCUAAUACCGGAUAGGAGCUCCUGCUGCAUGGUGGGGGUUGGAAAGUUUCGGCGGGUGGGGAUGGACUCGCGGCUUAUCAGCUUGUUGGUGGGGUAGUGGCUUACCAAGGCUUUGGCGGGUAGCCGGCCGGAGAGGGUGACCGGCCACAUUGGGACUGAGAUACGGCCCAGACUCCUACGGGAGGCAGCAGUGGGGAAUAUUGCACAAUGGGCGGAAGCCUGAUGCAGCAACGCCGCGUGCGGGAUGACGGCCUUCGGGUUGUAAACCGCUUUCGCCUGUGACGAAGCGUGAGUGACGGUAAUGGGUAAAGAAGCACCGGCUAACUACGUG
RNAcentral lists this ribosomal RNA (468 nucleotides) under uncultured bacterium. Its description in RNAcentral is "partial 16S ribosomal RNA". It matches the Rfam family "Bacterial small subunit ribosomal RNA", at positions 28 to 507 of the family's 1533-position model. The record is from RNAcentral.